RNAcentral lists this transfer RNA (124 nucleotides) under Fulvia fulva CBS 131901. Its description in RNAcentral is "tRNA-Thr (AGT) (tRNA-Thr-AGT-2-1)". The record is from RNAcentral. Lineage: Eukaryota; Fungi; Ascomycota; Dothideomycetes; Mycosphaerellales; Mycosphaerellaceae.
GCCUCUAUAGCUCAGUCAGUACUACGUUGAGUUGUGCUGUUGAGCGAUCAUACUGACAACCCGCAGGUGGUAGAGCGCAUCACUAGUAAUGAUGAGGUCUUCGGUUCGACUCCGAAUGGAGGCA